UAGAGAGCUAUGGCAUGCAGGCUCAUUGUGGGACUCCUGAACAUCGAUUCUUGGUACUUAAUGUAUUUAAGUGACAACUUGAAAGGUGACAAUAUGGUAUAGAUUUUGGACCAUGAAUCAAAAAGACCUGAGUUUUUCAGGCACUCUUGCUAUUGUCUGGGGGACUCAAAACAAGAUACUUCUCUGUAUUUAUUGUUUGUCCAUUUAGAUAACAUCUGUUUUACCUUCCUCACAGACUUUUUGUACAGACCAAAGCAACAAAUAUUUAUUGCCAUGUACAGCAGAAAAUGAAACAUGCAACAAAAGCACUUUGAAAAAUAUACAAGGAAUUGUUAAGCCUGUCUGAAUUUGGCCCCACUUUCUGACCAGUGCAGUUUUGUACAAGGUGAAGUUAGUGAUCCUGAGAUGCCCUGCGUGAGUGGGCCAGGCUGAGACACAGGUUGUGGUCCAGGGUGGGAACCAAGUAGACUUAGCAUAGUGGGGGCUGUUCUUUCCAGAGAGCUGCCCAAGAAGAGCAGGACUAACAUCUGGAAACUUUCUUCUUCAUUUAAGGGCGGACCUUGAUGACAGGGGGAAAAACUAGGACGUUCCUGUAUUCCAUGGCCAAGGGCAUGUUACCAAUGUCUUGUUUAACCUGCUUUAAACUAAAGCCUAUUGCUUUCCUUUUCUCUGAUCUUCCCCUCUCCUCUGUGUCCAGUGCUCAUAAUUACCUGCCUCCCCUAAAAAAAGGAACACUUGAUGGAUGAUAAGCUCUAGAUGCCAGAUAUGAAGCCUUCAGCAGAAACCACAGUCUCAACAAUCACUCCUGGACCCUGUACAGAGAAAAUCAGACCAUUCCUGCCCAUUUGAGGAUACAUGGUGCGAGGCGCAGAGGCUAGUUCCAUCCCAUUUGUCACCUGGGACCCACCGUUGCUCCCGGGAGCCCUGUUUAGGGUUGAAUGUAAGCGCUUUUCCCUCAUCUGGCCUGGAUACUUUGUGUAAACUAACUCCUCUGUAUAUGAGGUGCUACAUAUUUCUCUGUGGUAUCAACUUCUCUCUUAUUUUGCCCUUGUAAUUGUGCUAGCCUCUUCUACCCACUGCCCCUAGCAAGAUUAGCCCCAAAGUUUUAGUGUUCUGGGAUAGAAACAGGUUGCCUGGAAAAGCACUGCCAGCAGCCAUAUUCCAUAGUCUGUCCAUCACCACCUGGUUCUACGUGGCCCAUAAAAGGCUCUAGUGGGUAGAGAGGGAGGGUUCACUUCAGAGCCCCAAUGUUUUUAACGUUUCAGCUUCUGGUCCUUCUCCUGUGCCAUCCCUCCAGCUCUCAAAUAUGUCUUAACCCAGAGUAAGAGAGACAACUGACACUUCAUUUGUCUUCUCCCUUGCUCCACCUGGAUGGGCCACAGGGGUUGAGGUAGGGUGGAAUAUGAGGCUUUCAUCCUGGGAGCUCACAUACUCAAGAGAGUCAGAAAAGGACAUGAAAUGCUAUCAGGCCCUGUCGUUGACUCAGACUACAUGCUGAGCUCCUGGCAAAGUGGCCAUAUUUCCCUACCCAGGAGCAAUCUGUCCACAGCUUCAAAUUCAUCCUAAAAUUUGGGAAGGGACAAGUAAGGCUCAACCCAACAGCUUUCCUAAUAGCCCAGGCCUUAUUUCACCUGUGCUGAAUCCUAGUAUCUGUCUUUUAAGAGCACAUAAUUCCUAUUCCCAGCUUUGGGGGUGGGGAGUGACGUAACGUAAGGGUAAAUGGGGUUAUGCUGGUCACCACUAAGAGAAGAGUACUUAGACAUGCAUCCCCUGUGGGAGAGAAAUGGGAAACUAGGAGACUUUUAGCUACAAGAUAAACCUCGAGGAAACCUUAGUGCAGGCUGCCUCUCUGGCCUGUCAGGGAGAGGGUGGGGAGAAUUCCAGUUGGGAGUGGUUGAACCAGAUGUCCAGGGUCUGGUCAAAGUCUAAGAUUCUGAAAUGUUAUUGAGGGUCAUAAUGCUGCUUGGAAUAGAAAUUGGUCAAGGUAGAGAUUCAAAGUCAAGUUUAAGGCCAGUGUUAACACUGGCUUGAUCUUAGAGUUAAGGCGCAGGUCAGUCUUUCCUAAUGGAACGGAUCAUAGCUGCUGACUUUUCUCCAUUCUAAACUGAGGAGUAACCAUCAACUGCUUGACUUCUGGAGAUUGUCCUUCCUUCCUUCGCAGAACUUUAGCGCUGGGAAAGGAAAGUUGUCGGGGAGAGGCACACAAGGAGCCCAGAGUCUUCAACCUGUUGGGCACCCCUCAUCCAAUUUACUCUUACUGCUUUGAAGAAUACACAGCGCACACACACCCAAAUCUCACCCCCUUGAAGCCUUCCCUGAUUACAUUAAAAUCUCUUAUCUGGACAUCUGGAGCGCUUAGAAAAUAAUACAGCUCCACAUGGCAUAUGUAUUGUAAUCUGUCCUUUACAUCAAGAAUGGACUGAGACCUGUGUUGCCAGUGAAGGCAGGUGAAUGAUCUGGUGCUUUUUUUCCAGGCCAGGAGUGCAAGCUGCUUCUCCUUGGCCUGCUAGGGAGGAGUAGGGGUGACUGACUAAACAUUUACUUAACCAGCAUUGCAGGAGUCCGGGGUAGAAGGUCCACUCACAUCAGCCUGCAUUGAGGCUGCACCUCCUUUGUGACCCUAAACCUAAUGCCUCACUCUGCCCUUAACAAAAGCCCCUUCCUCAGCAGUUUGUCACGUCCUUCAGGGGUUUCAGUCUCUGUGCAAGGGGCCUAAUCAAAGUAUUUUUUCCCUAACCACAUACCUUUCUAUUAUAUACAGUUUUCUUUAUGUUUUUUAUUUCCAGUGAUGUUGUACAUCCAUUAUGGAUUGUGGGUCCCCUUCUGUCUGCCUUGUCCUUUAAAUGGACUGUUUUACAUGCUGGCUGUGUCUUGUCUAUUAGCCAGAGCUAAGUUCCUGGAGGGCAUUUUCCCCAUCUAAUACUUCUGGGGAGCCUCUUAUGCUAGGUGUUUAAAAAGCCUGUGUUUAAGCACUGGGCUUGGGGGCCCUGGAGGGUGGAGCGAAGAGAUGGUUUGACCAUCUGGUGGAAAUGGUUUGACCAUUUGGUAGAAAUAAAAGCCACCCAUCCUCAAAGACCUUAGAGUCUAACUCAUGUAGGAGGCCAGGCAGAUACCAAGCAAUGGACCUUAUCAAGAAGGCAGACUCAUAGGCAUAUGGUCCAGUUUGAAGCUGGGUGUAGAUGAUGGAGGGGCAGAGGUGGAGAUAAGUCAUAGAUGAUGUUGCCUUUAUCUGACUAUCUAUGUGUGACUCUCUCCCUAGUUUUUAAAAGUUGAUUUAUUUUAAAAUAAAUUCUGUGGAUUUUGCUUUCUUGCUUUGACUUGGAAACUCCCUGGUAAAAAAGGACUCGAUGGUGUUUGUCUCUCUGACUGUCUCUCUGUCUCUUUGACUGUUUGUUCUGUCUCUGUCUGUGUCUGUGUCUCCUGAUCCAAGCUGGAUCAGUGAUUGGAUCCUCAGUGUGGUCUGGAUUCCGGAGUCCACGCCUUAACCAGGAGUCUGAAUACUGUUCAUUCAUUCAUUUCAUUCCACAUACCUGGAAUUGAAGUCUGAAACGCAAAUAACAUGCAAAUCUGUGGCUCCUUGGCACUUUUUAAAACCAGACCUGUCUGUGGAGCCAGCCAGAGAGCCCUCCUGAGCCAAACACACCAGUCGGGAUUUCCAACCCACCCUGGAUACCUAACAGCAUCCCUUGUCUCCUUGCCCCCUCCCACACCCCUUUCUCCUCACCAUCUAACCUCCAGGAAGUGCUUCCGCUGGUCUACCUGUAAAACUCGCACUCCACAGAAUAAAACAAGAAAGCACCAACUUCUGAUAAAUCUUCCACUAUCCUGGUGAAACAGUUUUAUCUGUGUUGAGUUAGAAGAGCUGCUUGUCGUCUCCAGGACAUUCUUUUUUUUUUUUCAAUAAAUUUAUUUAUUUGUUU
RNAcentral lists this long non-coding RNA (3920 nucleotides) under Phocoena sinus (vaquita). RNAcentral's name for it is "lncRNA (ENSPSNG00000014205.1)". Lineage: Eukaryota; Metazoa; Chordata; Mammalia; Artiodactyla; Phocoenidae. The record is from RNAcentral.